Molecule: ribosomal RNA, 100 nt
Filed under: Staphylococcus haemolyticus
Lineage: Bacteria; Bacillati; Bacillota; Bacilli; Caryophanales; Staphylococcaceae
Description: partial 23S ribosomal RNA
Rfam family: Bacterial large subunit ribosomal RNA
Source: RNAcentral
GAUUAAGUUAUUAAGGGCGCACGGUGGAUGCCUUGGCACUAGAAGCCGACGAAGGACGUUACUAACGACGAUAUGCUUUGGGUAGCUGUAAGUAAGCGUU